This 649-nucleotide unclassified non-coding RNA is filed under the name Hevea brasiliensis (rubber tree). The record is from RNAcentral. Lineage: Eukaryota; Viridiplantae; Streptophyta; Magnoliopsida; Malpighiales; Euphorbiaceae.
AGAGAGAGAGAGAGAGAGAGCCAACAAAUUGUUGGAACCAAAAAACUUUGAAAGGCAUAAUUAUUUGAAAGUGAGGUUUGAAGGAGAUGACAAUUUUUGUACUUGAAAUAUGUAAUGCAGAUGGGAUUAAAAAAUUUAGGGCUAAAUUACACCCAUGAUACUUUAAGGUGUAAAACAUAAAAGUACUUCAACUUUAAUUUGAAACAGAAAGGUACCCCAAUUUCAAGUAAAGUAACCUGAAAGUAACUAUGACUUCUAAAAGCCGGUUCUCAGGUUAAAUGCUUACGUGGCUUUUCCUGUAGGUAGGUAGAUUGUUCAACCUGUCUAAUGUCAAAUGUGCUUUUCCUUUUAAUUGAAGAAGGUCUCUACUGAACAUGGAGUAAUUCUUAUUAUACUUUGAUUGUGUUAACUUGUUUGCUUCCAUGGUUUGUCUAAAUUCCACAAGCCAUGACAAUCAUCAGAUGUGUUCCUCACUUCAAUGUGUCAUUUUAAUCUCCUCCUUUACAGUAAUCAGUGUUUGAAUGUGCUGCUUUACUAGCUUAAGUGUCAAGUGGAAGGAAAAUGACUCUAUUGUGGCCAUGAUAUUUAUCUCAUGAAGGUUAGAACCUACUUUAGAAGCAUAGUUGGGGUCAGAAUGGCCAGAUUUUUU